UACGUAGGGUGCAAGCGUUAAUCAGAAUUACUGGGCGUAAAGCGUGCGCAGGCGGCUUUGCAAGACAGAUGUGAAAUCCCCGGGCUCAACCUGGGAACUGCAUUUGUGACUGCAAGGCUAGAGUACGGUAGAGGGGGAUGGAAUUCCGCGUGUAGCAGUGAAAUGCGUAGAUAUGCGGAGGAACACCGAUGGCGGAGGCAAUCCCCUGGACCUGUACUGACGCUCAUGCACGAAAGCGUGGGGAGCAAACAGG
Molecule: ribosomal RNA, 253 nt
Filed under: uncultured bacterium
Lineage: Bacteria
Description: partial 16S ribosomal RNA
Rfam family: Bacterial small subunit ribosomal RNA
Source: RNAcentral